RNAcentral lists this ribosomal RNA (253 nucleotides) under uncultured Lysobacteraceae bacterium. RNAcentral describes it as "uncultured Xanthomonadaceae bacterium partial 16S ribosomal RNA". It matches the Rfam family "Bacterial small subunit ribosomal RNA", at positions 524 to 776 of the family's 1533-position model. The record is from RNAcentral. Lineage: Bacteria; Pseudomonadati; Pseudomonadota; Gammaproteobacteria; Lysobacterales; Lysobacteraceae.
UACGAAGGGUGCAAGCGUUACUCGGAAUUACUGGGCGUAAAGCGUGCGCAGGUGGUGCGUUAAGUCCGAUGUGAAAGCCCUGGGCUCAACCUGGGAAUGGCAUUGGAUACUGGCGUGCUCGAGUACGGUAGAGGGUGGCGGAAUUCCCGGUGUAGCAGUGAAAUGCGUAGAGAUCGGGAGGAACAUCCGUGGCGAAGGCGGCCACCUGGACCAGUACUGACACUGAGGCACGAAAGCGUGGGGAGCAAACAGG